CGGAAGGCUGCUGGGUGUAGUCAAGUACUUGACUUGUCGGUGCGUGUGUCAAGAUGGGAUUGACCACUCCAGUUUAGGAGCUGUGUACAGUCGUGUUUCAAUUUAGCAAAAUCUUGACCAGGGUAGUCCUAGUGAGGAGUCACAGAACUAAUUGAGUUGAGCACGAUUCGGAUGAUAUCAUCAGGGUUGACAGUUUAACCCUGAGUCAUUCUAAACACAGGGGUCAAAAGGGAUGAAUUAUACGGUAACCAUAUUCACGUAGGUUCUGAAUGUUGCGAUUGCGAUUAUUCGACCUAUCCGAUCGUCGGGUACCAUUGCUAUAUGGUCACUUCGAUUAGUAUAGGAAUUGGUUCCUGUGCUACCGGCUUAGGUUUGAACCUGCGGGGUCACACACAUUAGUGGUUCCUUUCUGAUCAGAUGGCUGAUUAUGAGUCUUAUGUGUCUGGAACUCUAUGAUUGAGAAUUAGAAUUUUCUGAUCAUGAGUUCCACACAUUUUGGGUACCGGGGUCAAAAUUUUGAAUUUUGAAUUUGAAAUUUGAACUCUUUGAUCAG
Molecule: long non-coding RNA, 553 nt
Filed under: Elaeis guineensis (African oil palm)
Lineage: Eukaryota; Viridiplantae; Streptophyta; Magnoliopsida; Arecales; Arecaceae
Description: long non-coding RNA (EGUI_LNC004376)
Source: RNAcentral